This 73-nucleotide transfer RNA is filed under the name Neotoma lepida (desert woodrat). It matches the Rfam family "tRNA". Rfam says of the family: Transfer RNA (tRNA) molecules are approximately 80 nucleotides in length. Their secondary structure includes four short double-helical elements and three loops (D, anti-codon, and T loops). Lineage: Eukaryota; Metazoa; Chordata; Mammalia; Rodentia; Cricetidae. The record is from Rfam by way of RNAcentral.
GCCUAGAGAGCUCAACUGGUAGAGCAUUAGACUUCUAAUCUGAGGGUUCAGGGUUCAAGUCCCUGUUCAGCUA